AUUGAACGCUAGCGGGAUGCCUUACACAUGCAAGUCGAACGGAGUGGCGAACGGGUGAGUAAUGUAUCGGAACGGGCCCAGUAGCGGGGGAUAAAUACGCGAAAGCGUAGCUAAUCCCGCAUACGAUUGGAGCGGCCGAUAUCGGAUUAGCUAGGUGGUGGGGGAACGGCCCAACCAGGCGACGAUCCGUAGCUGGGUUGAGAGGACGACCAGCCACACGGGGACGGGGACACGGCCCAGACUCCUACGGGAGGCAGCAGUGGGGAAUUGUGGACAAUGGGGGAAACCCUGAUCCAGCCAUCCCGCGUGUGCGAUGAAGGCCUUCGGGUUGUAAAGCACUUUUGGCAGGAAAGCGGUACCUGCAGAAGAAGCACCGGCUAACUACGUGCCAGCAGCCGCGGUAAUAC
This 407-nucleotide ribosomal RNA is filed under the name uncultured bacterium. Its description in RNAcentral is "partial 16S ribosomal RNA". It matches the Rfam family "Bacterial small subunit ribosomal RNA", at positions 29 to 526 of the family's 1533-position model. The record is from RNAcentral.